GAUCUGGAUAUGUAUUGGCUGAGCUAUUUUUUCUGCAACAAGCUUUGGUGUUACAUCAGUGUGAUUGAAGUGAGGCUUGGAUUCGCUCCCUUUGCGGGGGUGGGGCCACUCCCCUGACCCUGAGCCUGUUGGUGCUGCUCACGUGAGAGGAGAAAGGAGAAGGCUUGGGGUUCACUUCCAACUCAGCAACUGCUCCCCAGGCCGCACUCAGCUCUCUGGGAGCUCAGAAUUCCAAUGACUUCCAAGGACUCCUCCGUCUUGCACAAAGUGCAACCGUCCCAGGUCCUGAGAGGUUGGACACGAGGUAAAACGAAGUCUUGAAGUGUGAAAUCCUUUUGCCUGUGUGGCAGUGACAAACUUGGCUUGUGGAAAGAAGGCGUUGAGAAUGAAAUGUGAUGGACUGAGCUCCUGCAGAAUCCCUGCAUCCCAUGUUCUCGGCCAUAAACUCCGUGUGAGCUGAGAAGAGGCCUGAGGAGGAGUUCCUGGACCGCGGGUUCUGUGCCUGGACAGCCAGGGGCCUUGGCACUGUCCAUGCAGUAGAAAGACCACGAUCCCAGGGAGACAUCAGGCUGGCUGACUUUUCAGAGGUGACUCAGCGGACGGACUGACAUUGACGUUGGAUAUCCAGCAGAGAGAUUGGCAGCCUUCCCUGGGACACAGGCAGCCUCAGCUUUUAUCUCUAGCCUGGAGCAGUCAGAGGCCCUGGACAAGCCUGACCCAACCGUCAUCAGUCACCUGAUAAGAGGCCCUGUCUCUGCCGCCUUGAUGGACCCAGCAUCUCCCACCUGUCUUCCUCAAUAGUUAUUCUCCCACGCUUACAGUGAAAUGGAAAUUAUCUGUGAGGCCAGAGGUCCUGUCCCAAUCUUCCCCCGUGUCCACUGAUUUAUCACACAUUGGAUAAUUAUGUGUCGGAUGACUGGAAACAUGGCUACUAUUCCAUGUAGGGAAAGAUUACGGGAGUCUCUUAAGCAAAUAUUAGCACACAAGCAGUGACUGUUCUGGGUGAGUACAUCAGAUUACACAGCUGGCACCAGAUGUCUCCGUGGGCCUUGUCAUGAGCCGGGAAGCUGCCAUGCGGUGCUGACAGGGAAGUUUCUAGAAGCCGCGUGACUCUGAAAGCAUGAGACAUACAGACCCACAGAGAUCUGCCACUUCGGGGAGCUUCUGUUCUUGCCCGUGGGGAGACUGACUGUAAGGCCACUGCAGGUGGCUGCUGUACCCGUAGCAAGGGUAGGUUCUGUUGGCUGGAGAUUGCCAGCCCAUAUGGGUAACGGGGACUGAAUCACUUUUGCCACCUUGGGAAAGAGUCUGGUCUUCAAGGCACUCCCUGAAAAGGUCGAACAAUAGGUUCCCUGUGAAAAACCCAGUGGAUGAAAUAUUCCUUGUGGGUGAGAGGUCUAAUCAUCAAGGACAUCUGGUAAUUUAAUGGCCAGGACCUCAGUAUCCCAGGGGAGCAGGCUGCCCAGGGGCCAGGUGGGCACUGCCUGUCUGAGAAGCCUGUGAAAGUCUUGGCUGGACAUUUGCAGCUGUCCUGUAUACAGGUGGCACUCUCCCCCACCUCCCACCCCGCCCCUUGCCUCCUCUGCCUCGGAUUCUCAUUCACACUCAAUCUUUUAAAAACUAACACCUGUCCUGAAUCUACACAUCACUUAACCUGUUUGUUGCACGUUUCCAUCCACGGACUGAAGUUCUGUGGUUCUGCGGCCACCUCCCUGUGGAAGCGAGCACCUACCACGUGGGACCUUUUAGUGUGAAAAUAUUAUCUCAGAGAUCCCUCCCCUGCUCUCAAGCCACACUAGGACUCCAAUUCCUUGAGUGCUGUAUAAUUCACACGAGCAAUGCCAUCAUUUCUUACGAUUCUUUCACAUAAUAAUUGCAAAUCAGACAAGACCAUAAAACUCACCUCAUCUUAAUUUCUCCUUGUGAAAAAUUCCCUAGAUCUCUGCCGGCGCCAUGGCUCAAUAGGCUAAUCCUCCGCCUUGCGGUGCCAGCACACUGGGUUCUAGCCCUGGUUGGGGUGCCAGAUUCUGUCCCAGCUGCCCCUCUUCCAGGCCAGCUCUCUGCCGUGGCCUGGGAGUGCAGUGGAGGAUGGCCCAAGUGCUUGGGCCCUGCACCCCAUGGGAGACCAGGAGAAGCACCUGGCUUCUGCCUUCGGAUCAGCGCAGUGCACCUGCCACAGCACGCCGGCCGCGCCAGCCAUUGGAGGGUGAACCAAUGGCAAAGGAAGACCUUUCUCUCUGUCUCUCUCUCACUGUCCACUCCGCCUGUCAAAAAAAAAAAAAAAAAAAAAAAAAAUUCCCUAGAUCUCACCACACACUGCAGAAAACAAAGGAGCGUAGAAAUCCAGGUUCGCCUCUGUGCUUUUGUGCACCUGUCUGCACUGGGCCUCACUUUACAAUUGCACGUGCCCCCUCCCCUCUAUCAAGCUCAUUCCCAAAAAGACAAAGAGGUACUUAGGAAACUCUUGCACAAAUCUCUAGAGCUGUGAAAGGCAGAGAAAGAGAGGGAAGAGACACAGGUAUAGAGUGAAAUCCUCGCUUACCAAAUGGCUGCAAUGACCAGAGCUGCACCAAGUCAAAUCCAGGUGCUGGAACUCCUUCUUGAUCUCCCAUGUAGGUGACAGGGGCCCAAGUACUUGACCCACUGCUUUCCCAGGGGUAUUAGCAGGGACACUGCUCAGAGGCAGAGCAGCUGGGACUUGAACUGGCACUAUGAUAUGGGCUGCCAAAAUUUCAAGUGGUGGCUUAACCUGCUGUACCGUGCCGCUGGCCCCUUGAGUCGCAUUCAUGAUAUACAACUACAGAAUGUGUACCCAGUUUCACCCCUCAAAUUGCACACAAAACAGAAUGCUUUGGCCGGCGCCGUGGCUCACUAGGCUAAUCCUCCGCCUUGCGGCGCCAGCACACGGGUUGUAGUCCCGGUCAGGGCACCGGAUUCUGUCCCGGCUGCCCCUCUUCCAGGCCAGCUCUCUGCUGUGGCCCGGGAGUGCAGUGGAGGAUGGCCCAAGUGCUUGGGCCCUGCACCU
Long non-coding RNA from Lepus europaeus (European hare), 3025 nucleotides. RefSeq lists it as uncharacterized. NCBI's taxonomy places the organism in Eukaryota, Metazoa, Chordata, Mammalia, Lagomorpha, Leporidae. The record is from RefSeq and is a predicted model, not a curated record. The transcript has 3 exons.